RNAcentral lists this ribosomal RNA (253 nucleotides) under uncultured bacterium. RNAcentral describes it as "partial 16S ribosomal RNA". It matches the Rfam family "Bacterial small subunit ribosomal RNA", at positions 524 to 776 of the family's 1533-position model. The record is from RNAcentral.
UACGUAGGCAGCGAGCGUUGUUCGGAGUUACUGGGCGUAAAGGGUGUGUAGGCGGUUGUUUAAGUUUGGUGUGAAAUCUCCCGGCUCAACUGGGAGGGUGCGCCGAAUACUGAGCGACUAGAGUGCGGGAGAGGAAAGUGGAAUUCCUGGUGUAGCGGUGAAAUGCGUAGAUAUCAGGAGGAACACCAAUGGCGAAGGCAGCACUCUGGGACGUGACUGACGCUGAGACGCGAAAGCGUGGGGAGCAAACAGG